AGAACGAACGCUGGCGGCAUGCCUAACACAUGCAAGUCGAACGAGACCUUCGGGUCUAGUGGCGCACGGGUGCGUAACGCGUGGGAAUCUGCCCUUGGGUUCGGGAUAACAGCGAGAAAUUGCUGCUAAUACCGGAUGAUGACGUAAGUCCAAAGAUUUAUCGCCCAAGGAUGAGCCCGCGUAGGAUUAGCUUGUUGGUGAGGUAAGAGCUCACCAAGGCGACGAUCCUUAGCUGGUCUGAGAGGAUGAUCAGCCACACUGGGACUGAGACACGGCCCAGACUCCUACGGGAGGCAGCAGUGGGGAAUAUUGGACAAUGGGCGAAAGCCUGAUCCAGCAAUGCCGCGUGAGUGAUGAAGGCCUUAGGGUUGUAAAGCUCUUCUACCCGGGAUGAAUAAUGAACGAGUAACCGGAAGAAUAAGCUCCGGACUAACUCCGCGCCAGCAGCCGAC
RNAcentral lists this ribosomal RNA (452 nucleotides) under uncultured soil bacterium. RNAcentral describes it as "bacterial SSU rRNA". It matches the Rfam family "Bacterial small subunit ribosomal RNA", at positions 26 to 518 of the family's 1533-position model. The record is from RNAcentral.